GACGAACGCUGGCGGCGUGCCUAACACAUGCAAGUCGAGCGGAGACAGUGAGUAGCUUGCUAUGAGCUGUUUUAGCGGCGGACGGGUGAGUAACGCGUGAGCAACCUUUCCCAGACAGGGGAAUAACACACCGAAAGGUGUACUAAUACCGCAUAAGACCACGGGAUCACAUGGUUCUGGGGUAAAAGAAUUAUCGGUUUGGGGUGGGCUCGCGUCCGAUUAGGUAGUUGGUGAGGUAACGGCCCACCAAGCCGACGAUCGGUAGCCGACCUGAGAGGGUGAUCGGCCACAUUGGGACUGAGACACGGCCCAAACUCCUACGGGAGGCAGCAGUGGGGAAUAUUGGGCAAUGGGGGGAACCCGUACACCGACGNAACGCCGCGUGGAGGAAGAAGG
Molecule: ribosomal RNA, 396 nt
Filed under: uncultured bacterium
Lineage: Bacteria
Description: bacterial SSU rRNA
Rfam family: Bacterial small subunit ribosomal RNA
Source: RNAcentral